GAUCCUGUGCACUUUAUUCUUCCCUACCAGCCUCAGAAGCCACGUGCUGAAGACAGUGAAGUUCUGUCUGGGAAGAAGCAUCGAUCCCUAAAUGACUGCAUGGAGCAGAGCAGAGAUGUCUGCUCACUAAGUUGGUUCGAAGCUGAGGAGGAAAAAAAUUAGGUGCUAGGAUGCUGGAGAGAUCCUCAGAAACCCCUCUACAUGAAUCAUUUAAGUAGAUGAAGAGCUAGAUUGCAAUAAUCAUUGGGAGGAGAAGAAGAAUAAAACAUGAGAUUCCAUUCACAUCCCAGAAUUAAAGGUACUGUCGUGAUGCCCAUUUUACAGAUGAAGAAACUGAGGUUUCCAGAGGUCCAGUCCCUGCCUGAGCUGAUGCAGUUACGAAGGCUGAAGCCCGGACUUGAUUUGAGUUCGGCCUGCGGAGCCCCGGCUGAGCUACCUGCCUUCUAGCCCCACGGUGGAAAGGGAGAAUCCAGACAUCCUUGAGACCUACCCAAGGAGUUUCCCUGUUACUGCCCUGCCAUCCUUCUGAUGCCACCCUGUUCCGUAUCUGGCUGGAGCCAGCGUGGUUGUGUCUGGGUUUGGCUCCAUAGUAGAUGUUCUCGGUGGCCUUACUAUUCCUGUGCACGCCGGCCACUUUUGCCUGAAGCUCUCUGUGGCUGCCAAUGCCCACUUUGUUGAAAGUACUUGGAAAUUAAGACCCUCUAGGGAGUAUCUCUGAGUUGUGCCUGGUGAGAUUUCAUGAAGGAAUGGCCCAGCUCCUGCAGACCUAGGCGGGAUGUCUGAGGUGCACCUUCUACACGCUCUUUCAGUUGGAUUAAGUCCUAGGAUGCCCACAGGGGUCACUGAGAGGUUAACAAACAUUUUUUUUUUUUUUUUUUUUGAGAUGGAGUCUUGCUCUGUCACCCAGGCUGGAGUGCAGUGGCCUGAUCUCAGCUCACUGCAAGCUCCACCUCCCAGGUUCAUGCUAUUUUCCUGCCUCAGCCUCCUGAGUAGCUGGGAUUACAGGCGCCCGCCACCACGACCGGCUAAUUUUUUGUAUUUUUAGUACAGACCAGGUUUCACCGUGUUAGCCAGGAUGGUCUCGAUCUCUUGACCUUGUGAUCCACCUGCCUCGGCCUCCCAAAGUGUUGGAAUUAUAGGCUUGAGCCACCACGCACAGCUGACAUUUCCACUUUUGUCUUUUGGCCCAGAUGUUGACAUUUUCUGAGCUCCCAAAGAAUUUACAGACAUUUUUCCUAGGUCAGAGUAAAAGGGAUCCCCUUUGUUCUGGAUCUUCUGUUGCCUUGAUCAUCAGAUCAAGUUGAGGAAAUGGUCCCUUGGGAAGCUAAUCCCAGUGGCUUGGUAAACUUACACCCUUUCUUUUGAUGUCAGGCCUUUUAAAACAUCAGGGCCACUUUCCUUUACUUGUCCAGGAUGGAAACAUUUGGCAGCACUUUUUGCAAUAUCCUUCCAUUCAACAGCCACAUGCCCCAGCUGAGGGCUUGGCACCAUGGAAAAGCAAUGAAGAUUCAAGAACGAACCAGCUUAGCACACGUGAUUUUUAGGGCAGUGAGACUAUUCUAUGUGACACUGUAAUGGUGGAUCCAAUGGUGGAUGGUCACAUCCAUCCAAAGAAUGUGCAGCACACCAGGAGAGAAACCUACACUAUGGACUUAAGAGUAAUGUAUCAAUAUUGACUCAUCAAUUGCAACAAAUGCACUACAUUAAAGCCACAUGUUAAUAACAGGGGAAACAGGAUGGGAGGAUUUGAGGGCAUAUAUGGGAACACUAUACUUUCUGCUCAUUUUUCUGUAAAGCUUAAGCUAUUCUAAAGAAUAAAGUCUAUUCAUUAAACAACAAAAA
Molecule: long non-coding RNA, 1842 nt
Organism: Homo sapiens (human)
Lineage: Eukaryota; Metazoa; Chordata; Mammalia; Primates; Hominidae
Exons: 3
Source: RefSeq, a predicted model, not a curated record